Molecule: long non-coding RNA, 1323 nt
Filed under: Scophthalmus maximus (turbot)
Lineage: Eukaryota; Metazoa; Chordata; Actinopteri; Pleuronectiformes; Scophthalmidae
Description: lncRNA (ENSSMAG00000028856.1)
Source: RNAcentral
GUCAAACUGAUCAGACAGUGUCAUACUCACUAUAGUGUCUGUCUCUGAAGAGAUUAAAGAUAGACCAUGCACUGUAAAUGACUGUAAACUAAGACUGUAGACUGGAGUUUACCUGUGAACAACCAGUGCCAUCAUAAAACUGUCACAUUUUUGCAUUGUAUAAUGAUGAACCAUUUCUUUUUUCCUCCAAUAACUACAUCCACAGAAGUGGGAUAUUUUAUUACAAAAUUGCUGGACGUGUGGUGAUAUAACCUACAACUAUAGUGGCUAAAGAACAUGUGAAUCCUGAGGAUGGGACCAGAAGGACAAUGCUGCUUGGGCAAAGGCAUCCCAUCCCUUCCCCGGUGGUCUGCAGUCAUCUCAUCUUUCAUGGAACACAAGGGGCAGGAAGUAUCCACGGGGACCCAACAGAUGCAAGGGAAAGCCACAAAAUGGCCUCCGCCUGAGCCGAGCCAUGUGGCUUCUGCGAUUAUGGAGGAAGCGGAUGCCGAUGCAAAAAGAUCAAAACCCCUGUGCGCAAGAAACAAGUGUCCCACUCCCCGGCAGCCGAGCAGGAGGGAGGAAGAGUCGCUCAACAGCAUGUCGGUUGCAGCUCAGACGUGUCUCUCAGCAAAGGAGAUUUUGAAAAAGAAGAAACCACAUUUGAAGAGCAGGGGGUGGGUCUGAUGGAGAGUGUACGGUCACUGCGCGUCCACCUACACCUGCAACCUGCACCCAUUGGACGCUACUGGCUGUCAAUUGUAAAGUUACUACACCCUAAUGCAUACUGCGCUUUAUUGUCUAUUUUACUAUGAAUGAAUCAUUAAGUAUUGGAAAAGACUUGAAACUAAAGUUUUUGAUCAUAAACUCCUCAGGAAAAUGUUGACAUUAUGAGUAAUUUUCUCAUAGACUUCAAUAGAAACUGAAUUAUUUUAGCAACCAGUGGAGUCGCCCUCUGCUGGAGUGCCACAGUGAUGUGUAGUUAUGUGGAUGUAGCCUUAGACUGAUCAAGUCAAUCAGUGGACCUCAACCCAGGAGAGCAACAUUUCACCUCCUGAAGAGGAGACUGAAGUGAACCCCACAAACAAACAAGAACUGAAACAGGCUUCAGUAAAAGGCUGGAAAAGCUUCACAAAUGAAGAACUCCACAGUAAAUUUUGUUACUUUGGAUUCCUUAACUUUUGCUCACCUAAAAAAUGGGGUGGUCUGAUACUAUAUUGUCUUGUGUCCCUUGUCCCUUGCAAUAGUUUUUCAGGGAACUGUAGGUUCCCAUUGACAGGCUUAUACCCAGCAUACAUCUGGUACCCCAUGCUAAUAAUUUCAACAUUGCUCAAUAAGGUUUCA